AGGGAGCUAGUCUAAAAAAGACCUCUGAUUUCGGCUCAGAAAAUUGUGGUUUAAGUCCACGGCUCCCUU
RNAcentral lists this transfer RNA (69 nucleotides) under Pimephales promelas (fathead minnow). RNAcentral describes it as "tRNA-Arg". It matches the Rfam family "tRNA". Rfam says of the family: Transfer RNA (tRNA) molecules are approximately 80 nucleotides in length. Their secondary structure includes four short double-helical elements and three loops (D, anti-codon, and T loops). Further hydrogen bonds mediate the characteristic L-shaped molecular structure. tRNAs have two regions of fundamental functional importance: the anti-codon, which is responsible for specific mRNA codon recognition, and the 3' end, to which the tRNAs corresponding amino acid is attached (by aminoacyl-tRNA synthetases). tRNAs cope with the degeneracy of the genetic code in two manners: having more than one tRNA (with a specific anti-codon) for a particular amino acid; and 'wobble' base-pairing, i.e. permitting non-standard base-pairing at the 3rd anti-codon position. Lineage: Eukaryota; Metazoa; Chordata; Actinopteri; Cypriniformes; Leuciscidae. The record is from RNAcentral.